Molecule: ribosomal RNA, 253 nt
Filed under: uncultured bacterium
Lineage: Bacteria
Description: partial 16S ribosomal RNA
Rfam family: Bacterial small subunit ribosomal RNA
Source: RNAcentral
UACGUAGGGUGCGAGCGUUAAUCGGAAUUACUGGGCGUAAAGUGUGCGCAGGCGGCUGAGCAAGUCGAGUGUGAAAGCCCCGGGCUUAACUUGGGAAUUGCGCUCGAAACUACUUUGCUGGAGUGUGGCAGAGGAAGGUGGAAUUCCACGUGUAGCGGUGAAAUGCGUAGAGAUGUGGAGGAACACCAAUGGCGAAGGCAGCCUUCUGGGCCAACACUGACGCUCAUGCACGAAAGCGUGGGGAGCAAACAGG